AACGAACGCUGGCGGCAUGCCUAACACAUGCAAGUCGAACGAGACCUUCGGGUCUAGUGGCGCACGGGUGCGUAACGCGUGGGAACCUGCCCUUAGGUUCGGAAUAACUCCCCGAAAGGGGUGCUAAUACCGGAUAAUGUCUUCGGACCAAAGAUUUAUCGCCUUUGGAUGGGCCCGCGUUGGAUUAGCUAGUUGGUAGGGUAAAAGCCUACCAAGGCGACGAUCCAUAGCUGGUCUGAGAGGAUGAUCAGCCACACUGGGACUGAGACACGGCCCAGACUCCUACGGGAGGCAGCAGUGGGGAAUAUUGGACAAUGGGCGAAAGCCUGAUCCAGCCAUGCCGCGUGAGUGAUGAAGGCCUUAGGGUUGUAAAGCUCUUUUACCCGGGAUGAUAAUGACAGUACCGGGAGAAUAAGCGCCGGCUAACUCCGUG
RNAcentral lists this ribosomal RNA (433 nucleotides) under uncultured bacterium. RNAcentral describes it as "partial 16S ribosomal RNA". It matches the Rfam family "Bacterial small subunit ribosomal RNA", at positions 29 to 507 of the family's 1533-position model. The record is from RNAcentral.